AACGAACGCUGGCGGCAGGCUUAACACAUGCAAGUCGAACGCCCCGCAAGGGGAGUGGCAGACGGGUGAGUAACGCGUGGGAAUCUACCCUGAACUGCGGGAUAGCUCCGGGCAACUGGAAUUAAUACCGCAUGUGCCCUGAGGGGCAAAGAUUUAUCGGUUCAGGAUGAGCCCGCGUCCGAUUAGCUAGUUGGUGGGGUAAAGGCCUACCAAGGCGACGAUCGGUAGCUUGUCUAAGAGGAUGAUCAGCCACAUUGGGACUGAGACACGGCCCAAACUCCUACGGGAGGCAGCAGUGGGGAAUAUUGGACAAUGGGCGCAAGCCUGAUCCAGCCAUGCCGCGUGAGUGAUGAAGGCCCUAGGGUUGUAAAGCGCUUUCAACGGGGACGAUAAUGACGGUACCCGGAGAAGAAGCCCCGGCUAACUUCGUG
RNAcentral lists this ribosomal RNA (431 nucleotides) under uncultured bacterium. Its description in RNAcentral is "partial 16S ribosomal RNA". It matches the Rfam family "Bacterial small subunit ribosomal RNA", at positions 29 to 507 of the family's 1533-position model. The record is from RNAcentral.